This 279-nucleotide transfer-messenger RNA is filed under the name Acinetobacter baumannii. Its description in RNAcentral is "partial transfer-messenger RNA". It matches the Rfam family "transfer-messenger RNA", at positions 1 to 283 of the family's 374-position model. Rfam says of the family: Bacterial tmRNA, also known as 10Sa RNA or SsrA, is named for its dual tRNA and mRNA-like properties. The record is from RNAcentral. Lineage: Bacteria; Pseudomonadati; Pseudomonadota; Gammaproteobacteria; Moraxellales; Moraxellaceae.
GGGGAUGAUCGGUUUCGACAUCGCCUGCUCAUUCGCGAGAAGCGGGCCGAGGAUGCGGGGUUAUCUCGUUAACGCCCCCUGCAAAACUAUAAGUGCCGAUGCAAAGCGCACUGACUUCGCCCUCGCUGCCUAAGCGAGCCCGAUAGUCCGUCAGACCGUGUGUGAUCCCGCCACGGACCCUGGCGUCAUCUAGGGAUCUUGCUGAGCGACGGCGUCCGGACGUCGCUCGGGACUCUUCCCGGACUGGGCCUGUCGACUUAGGUGUCUGUGACAAAGGUC